GACGAACGCUGGCGGCGUGCUUAACACAUGCAAGUCGAGCGGUAAGGCCCUUUCGGGGGUACACGAGCGGCGAACGGGUGAGUAACACGUGGGUGACCUGCCCUUAGCUCUGGGAUAAGCCUGGGAAACUGGGUCUAAUACCGGAUAUGACUCCACGGCGCAUGUUGUGGGGUGGAAAGCCUUGUGUGGCUAGAGAUGGGCCCGCGGCCUAUCAGCUUGUUGGUGGGGUGAUGGCCACCAAGGCGACGACGGGUAGCCGGCCUGAGAGGGCGACCGGCCACACUGGGACUGAGACACGGCCCAGACUCCUACGGGAGGCAGCAGUGGGGAAUCUUGCGCAAUGGGCGAAAGCCUGACGCAGCGACGCCGCGUGAGGGAUGACGGCCUCGG
Molecule: ribosomal RNA, 390 nt
Filed under: uncultured bacterium
Lineage: Bacteria
Description: bacterial SSU rRNA
Rfam family: Bacterial small subunit ribosomal RNA
Source: RNAcentral